AAAUAUUGAAAAGUUGAGUUAAAUGCAAAACGAGAGUGAAAACAUGCCAAGUAUGAGCUCAAUGACAAAGCAAAACAAAUGGAAGAAGAAAAUAUUGAAGAGGGACUGAAAUGAAGACAAUUGAAAGUUGGAGGACUAAAGCGCAAAUACUCAAAAGAUGUGCCGAAUGAGGGGCAUGAGAAUUGAUGGUAUCAAUCAUCAAUUGGAAGAUAAAAUUUGUUGAAAAGAUGAAGAAAUCGAAGAAAGAAGUCAAGAGAAGCAACAAAGAAGUUCAGGGACCAAAUUGAACAAACCACAUAGAUGGUUACUUCUAUGCGACCGCAUAGUGUAACCUUCUAUGCGGUCGCAUAGAAGGCUUCAGGGGUUCAAUGAGCCCAAAUAAUUUGAACUAUGCGACCGCAUAGAUUCCUUCUAUGCGGUCGCAUAGUUCGUUUCUGAAACCUCGGGCGCAGUUUUUCGUUUUGGUUGAAACUCCUUUCCUACUUAAUUUGGA
This 493-nucleotide long non-coding RNA is filed under the name Olea europaea (common olive). RNAcentral's name for it is "long non-coding RNA (OEUR_LNC005533)". The record is from RNAcentral. Lineage: Eukaryota; Viridiplantae; Streptophyta; Magnoliopsida; Lamiales; Oleaceae.